CCUACGGGAGGCUGCAGUGGGGAAUAUUGCACAAUGGGCGAAACCCUGAUGCAGCGACGCCGCGUGAGUGAAGAAGUAUUUCGGGAUGUAAAGCUCUAUUCGCAGGGAAGAAGAAAGACGGUACCCGACUAAGAAGCCCCGGCGAACUACGUGCCAGCAGCCGCGGUAAGACGUAGGGGGCAAGCGUUAUCCGGAUUUACGGGGUGUAUAGGGAGCGUAGACGGCUGUGCAAGUCUGAAGUGAAAGCCCAGGGCUCAACCCUGGGACUGCUUUGGAAACUGUGGAGCUAGAGUGCUGGAGAGGUAAGUGGAAUUCCUGGUGUAGCGGUGAAAUGCGUAGAUAUUAGGAGGAACACCAGUGGCGAAGGCGGCUUACUGGACAGUAACUGACGUUGAGGCGCGAAAGCGUGGGGAGCAAACAGGAUUAGAUACCCCGGUAGUC
This 441-nucleotide ribosomal RNA is filed under the name uncultured bacterium. Its description in RNAcentral is "partial 16S ribosomal RNA". It matches the Rfam family "Bacterial small subunit ribosomal RNA", at positions 338 to 795 of the family's 1533-position model. The record is from RNAcentral.